RNAcentral lists this ribosomal RNA (651 nucleotides) under Colwellia sp. Sydgb2. Its description in RNAcentral is "bacterial SSU rRNA". It matches the Rfam family "Bacterial small subunit ribosomal RNA", at positions 54 to 694 of the family's 1533-position model. Lineage: Bacteria; Pseudomonadati; Pseudomonadota; Gammaproteobacteria; Alteromonadales; Colwelliaceae. The record is from RNAcentral.
CAUGCAAGUCGAGCGGAAACGAGAAUAGCUUGCUAUUCGGCGUCGAGCGGCGGACGGGUGAGUAAUGCUUGGGAAUAUGCCUAAUGGUGGGGGACAACAGUUGGAAACGACUGCUAAUACCGCAUAAUGUCUACGGACCAAAGGAGGGGAUUCUUCGGAACCUUUCGCCAUUUGAUUAGCCCAAGUGAGAUUAGCUAGUUGGUAAGGUAAAGGCUUACCAAGGCGACGAUCUCUAGCUGGUUUGAGAGGAUGAUCAGCCACACUGGGACUGAGACACGGCCCAGACUCCUACGGGAGGCAGCAGUGGGGAAUAUUGCACAAUGGGCGAAAGCCUGAUGCAGCCAUGCCGCGUGUGUGAAGAAGGCCUUCGGGUUGUAAAGCACUUUCAGCGAGGAGGAAAGGGUGUAGACUAAUACUCUGCAUCUGUGACGUUACUCGCAGAAGAAGCACCGGCUAACUUCGUGCCAGCAUCCGCGGUAAUACGAGGGGUGCAAGCGUUAAUCGGAAUUACUGGGCGUAAAGCGUGCGUAGGUGGUUUGUUAAGCAAGAUGUGAAAGCCCCGGGCUCAACCUGGGAACUGCAUUUUGAACUGGCAAGCUAGAGUAUUGUACAGGGUAGUGGAAUUUUCAGUGUAGCGGUGAAAUGCGUAGA